This 651-nucleotide ribosomal RNA is filed under the name uncultured soil bacterium. RNAcentral's name for it is "bacterial SSU rRNA". It matches the Rfam family "Bacterial small subunit ribosomal RNA", at positions 55 to 718 of the family's 1533-position model. The record is from RNAcentral.
AUGCAAGUCGAACGAGGUUAAUUCGGUAGCAAUACUGGGUUAACCUAGUGGCGAACGGGUGCGUAACACGNUGACCAACCUGCCUAGAAGUGGGGGAUAGCUCGGCGAAAGCCGGAUUAAUACCGCAUGUGAUCGUAAGAUCAAAGCAGCAAUGCGCUUUUAGAGGGGGUCGCGGCCUAUCAGCUGGUUGGUGAGGUAACGGCUUACCAAGGCAGCGACGGGUAGCUGGUCUGAGAGGACGACCAGCCACACUGGAACUGAGACACGGUCCAGACACCUACGGGUGGCAGCAGUCGAGAAUUUUUCUCAAUGGGGGAAACCCUGAAGGAGCGACGCCGCGUGGAGGAUGAAGGCUUUCGGGUUGUAAACUCCUGUCAUCUGGGAACAAAACUCGCAAGAGCUUGAUAGUACCAGAAGAGGAAGAGACGGCUAACUCUGUGCCAGCAGCCGCGGUAAUACAGAGGUCUCAAGCGUUGUUCGGAUUCAUUGGGCGUAAAGGGCGCGUAGGCGGUGGGGUAAGUCUGGUGUGAAAUCUCGGAGCUCAACUUCGAAAAUGCACUGGAUACUGCUCUGCUAGAGGGCUGGAGAGGAGAUCGGAAUUCACGGUGUAGCAGUGAAAUGCGUAGAUAUCGUGAGGAAGACCAGUGGCGA